This 865-nucleotide long non-coding RNA is filed under the name Phascolarctos cinereus (koala). RNAcentral's name for it is "lncRNA (ENSPCIG00000036626.1)". Lineage: Eukaryota; Metazoa; Chordata; Mammalia; Diprotodontia; Phascolarctidae. The record is from RNAcentral.
AUUUUAUUAAGUAUGUACUAUGUAUAAGGCCCUGCCCUUUAGCUUUUUAUCUGCAGAGAUGUUGCAUAAGUCCUAGAGACUAGUUUGCCCUGGCACCUAGCAAUUUGAUAUUGACAUCAGGUACAAUCUUGCCUGAAGAGCUAUGUCACUUUGCUCUUCCCAUAAAUGCCGGUUUGGCAUUUACGGUCAUCUUAGCUUAAGAAAGGAAAAGAGUAGGAAAGGAGGGAGAAAUGGAGGAAGAAAGGAAGGAAAGAAUCAACCUAUCAAUCAAUUAGCAUUGAAGGAAGGGAAGAAAAAGAAAGAGAACUAAAACAAAGAAGAAAAAAGAAAAAAUUAAAAGAAAGAGAAUGGAAAGAAAGAGAAGAAGGAAGGAAGGAGAAGAAAAACAAUCCACAGUUUUGGACAAUAUCUCUUGGUGAGGAUAGAAGUGAGUGCCUUUCCUGGGAGCUACAUGGGAGCUACAUUUCUCAGAUAGCCAUCAUAUCUGCAAUAAAGACCUGAGUUUUACUCCCCUUGGAGAUUCAAAGGAGGAGGAUGUGGUUUAAUGCUUUUAUUUUUUUUAAAGGCAGGAUGUGCAAUGAGCCCUGACCACUAGGUCUACAACCUGUUUCAUACAUGAUCAGGAAUUCCCCUGACCCUGGCUGUGUCCAUAACGAUCAACUCAAGGAUAAAUUUCCAUCAAACUUGUUGUUUGGAAGAGUAAAUGAAAAAAGAAAAAGAAGAGAAACUGGAACCUCAUUUAGUUUUCUGGAGAGGAACUCAAAGAUGAGGCGGCAUCUUUCAGCACCCGACUUCCUGAACCUGUCAACCAACAAAGAUCGACUUUAAGAAUAAACUUCUGAGAGCAGCUAAGGCUCUGGAGUAU